GAAUGAAAGGACAAGUUACAGAAUGGGAGAAAAAAUUUGCAGAAGACAUAUCUGAUAAUGAACUGUUAUCCAAAACAUACAAAGAACUCUUAAAACUCAACAAUAAGAAAAUCAA
Molecule: long non-coding RNA, 115 nt
Organism: Nomascus leucogenys (northern white-cheeked gibbon)
Lineage: Eukaryota; Metazoa; Chordata; Mammalia; Primates; Hylobatidae
Exons: 3
Source: RefSeq, a predicted model, not a curated record